AGGGGGUAUGCAGCACCGCUGUGUGCUGUGCUCACUGUCCUGGGCUGUCACUCGUUGUUGACUGUCUCCCUCUGUAGAUCACGAGCUCCCGAAGCCUGGGUCUUUAUCUGUUCUCUGCUGCAUCUCCAGGGACCUCGGCUGUGCCUGGCACAUAGUUGGUCCUCCUGACAUAUGUGCAGAAGGAAUGAGUGAAGGCUCAGAGAUCUGCCUCUUAGGCUGUAGCGCAGGAGAUUGAGAACCCUUAAACAUCCCCGGUUCUAGACCGGAUGAUCUGACUCUGUCAUUUUGCAGACCUUCCUCCCGUUGCUUUCGCGGCUGGUUCUGAGGCUGCUGCCAUCUGUGGCCAAGUCUGCUUGUCAACAGCAGCGGCGCUGCAGAGGGGCUCGGACCCGCUGAUAGAAGCUCCUGUUCCAGCGGGUGCCUGGCUGAUGCCCUGUGAUGAUGUCACAGCCACAGAUCCUGAUGGCAGCCGUGAUGGUAACGGUCCCAGCUACCCCAGCCGUCUCGCUUGAUGGGGUGACCAAGGGCCCACAGAUUGCUCCUGAGUGCGCCUCUCUAGUGACAGAUGAUUCUGAAACCAGCCCGUCUGGUUUGAUCCGGAGAAGAAAACAACAACUAUAUGUAUUUUUCCUUUUUCCUUUUGGCGGAGAAGUUGCAGUCAUCUAGAAAUCAUUUCAAGGUCAUCCAAAUGCCUGAGGCCCUGCGGACACGGACUCCUGAGCAUCGUCUCCAUCCUUGAAGGACAAGGUUCCAUCUCUGCAUCUCCAGCACCAGCGCAGGGCCUGGCACGAGGCAGAGCUCAAAGCAGGGAGUGUCUGUUGACUGCCCAGGCGAGGUCAGACAGGAGCCGGCCCACUGGCCUGUAGGACGUCCCACAGAAUGGAAACACAUUGUGGUGUCAUGAGAGGAGCUUCGGGGGAACUGACCUGGUCCCUGGGCCAGGAUGCGGGGAUAAUGACAGACACAAAAGAAUCCCUCAAGGAGGUGACAUUUCAUCUGAGACAUGACAGUACUCCCACCAUGUGUGUCAUCUGCACCUCUGUGUGGAGUAGGAAGGUCUCAAGCUCAAGGUCCCUGGCGGGUAAACAACAAUCAAAACAAUUUCAAGUUCACGGACAUCCUCUGCAAUCAACAUCAACUGCUCCAUCAGGAAAACAGGACCUUGUAUUGCUGGUGAGUAGCAGGUAGUUCACGAGCUUGUCAGCAUGACCCACGGCCCCUGAUCUGUAUCAAUAUGAAAUAAGAACGCAUUUAAGAGGUGUCAGGAAAACACGUGCCCCCCCUCCCAUUUGACAUCGAUUCAUUCAUGUAUGAAACUGAGUCUUUGUGAUGGUGAAGCACUAAGGAUCCUGUGUGGUCAGAUUAAUAUCAUGGAACCAGAGGGUGGAAGCAGGUUAUUAAAUGUCCCCUACUUUGUCUUCCUUCCAACGGGCAGAAGAAAACAAACAGAAGGCUUAGAUGCAAAUGUGGAUUUAUGUCCAAGGAUUCACGAAAGCAGCAUAGACUGAGAAAGGGAAAGCAGGGUAGAUGUCCCAGAUAAUUCAGGUUAAAAAGACUUUUAUUGGAAGCAUCAUAGUCAUCCAGGUGCAGCUUGUAUCUAUAGAUUCUGCCAUAGGUUAUCCAUCCUUCUUGUAGAAGAACCUCAGGGUUCAUGCCAACAUUCAGUGGAAAUGUCGAAGCAUCAUUGAAAUUCCUUGAGCCAAGGGCAGGUGUUCAGGUCCCAGGCCUGCUACCACCUGUGGUUUCACUUCCCUGCCAGACUGCGGAAUUUUUCAAAC
Molecule: long non-coding RNA, 1778 nt
Organism: Aethalodelphis obliquidens (Pacific white-sided dolphin)
Lineage: Eukaryota; Metazoa; Chordata; Mammalia; Artiodactyla; Delphinidae
Exons: 3
Source: RefSeq, a predicted model, not a curated record